This 298-nucleotide unclassified non-coding RNA is filed under the name Chytridiomycota sp. RNAcentral's name for it is "partial contains small subunit ribosomal RNA, internal transcribed spacer 1, and 5.8S ribosomal RNA". The stretch from base 1 to 47 matches the Rfam family "Eukaryotic small subunit ribosomal RNA", at positions 1785 to 1831 of the family's 1831-position model. The record is from RNAcentral. Lineage: Eukaryota; Fungi; Chytridiomycota.
AAAGUCGUAACAAGGUAACCGUAGGUGAACCUGCGGUUGGAUCAUUACUGAAAUGAUAAUGGCGUAUACGAUCUCUACGAUCCAACGCCAUGCACAUCCGUGCAAAACCUUUUGUGCACUGUACAUGUACCUGGUGGGUGAAGGCAGAUGAGGUGCGCCUCGAUCUUGCUUUCGGACUCUUAACAAAGUCAGCCCAUCAGACUUGUCAUUUACUUUUGUUGUCUAUUUACUUUGUCUGAAUUGAAAGCUAUUUGUAGUAAUAUACAAACAACUUUUGGCAACGGAUCUCUUGGUUCUC